This 455-nucleotide long non-coding RNA is filed under the name Amborella trichopoda. Its description in RNAcentral is "long non-coding RNA (ATRI_LNC002018)". The record is from RNAcentral. Lineage: Eukaryota; Viridiplantae; Streptophyta; Magnoliopsida; Amborellales; Amborellaceae.
GAAACAGGAAGUUUUAUGCCUUAUGUGGUAGUAGAUUUGAAGGAUUGGUAUGGUGCUAUAAAAAAAGACUCGCCUUUAUGUGGUUGGGUCCUUUUGUCCACCAUUAGAUGAUGUUUUUGGCGUGGGGGAUUGGGCGCAAAGGGAUUGGGGAUUAGACUAUUGCGCUGUCAGUUGGUAAUGAUAGAGUGGUUUUUUUGUCUACAGUCUGAUAUAGAUGUUUUGAAAGCCUUUAAGGAAAAUUUCUAUAGAAUUUGUGGUUCUUUGAUGAGUUUAAAAGCUUGGAAUCCUUUGGAGCACUAAGAAAGUGGAAUGUUGGACCGGCUGUGAGGCAAAGCUCUGUGCGCCGGGGAUCUUGCAGACUUGAGAAAAGUUGGGGAAUUUUGUGAGGUCGAUAAGAGAGCUAUAUCGUGCAAUUAAGAUUACGAGAUUUGUUGGACUUCUUUGUCUAAGAAAAG